GUUUUCAUUCCGACAACUACUCCGACGUAAAGUCGGAGAGGAAAGUCCGAACACAUGCUCAUUUAAUUGAGGAAGGUAGCGGGUAACGCCCGUCGUCCGCGAGGAUAGAGGUGCGAACAGUGACGCCAAAGCCGAAAGGCUGAGGGUCCCUUAUUUAUGAAAAUAUAUAAGGGAUAAUCUGAUAGAAAUAUCAGGGUGCAACGGUUAAAUCCUUACUUAUGUGCAAGGCCGUACUCUAGCAGAAAUGUUAGUUUGUGCCGCUUGAGUCUUUGAGCAAUUUAAGACCUAGAUAAAUUGUUGUUUAAACCAGAAUUCGGCUUAUGAGAAUGAAAAUCUAA
RNAcentral lists this RNase P RNA (338 nucleotides) under Candidatus Zambryskibacteria bacterium RIFOXYC1_FULL_39_10. RNAcentral describes it as "RNase P RNA component class A". It matches the Rfam family "Bacterial RNase P class A". From Rfam's summary of the family: Ribonuclease P (RNase P) is a ubiquitous endoribonuclease, found in archaea, bacteria and eukarya as well as chloroplasts and mitochondria. Its best characterised activity is the generation of mature 5'-ends of tRNAs by cleaving the 5'-leader elements of precursor-tRNAs. RNAcentral also lists the same sequence under 1 other name. The record is from RNAcentral. Lineage: Bacteria; Candidatus Zambryskiibacteriota.